ACAACAUGGUGGGGGCAUUUUCUAAUCAGUUUCUUUAAUUUCUCCCAAGUCUCAUAAAAUAUCUCCCCAUCCAACUAGAAAAAACUAGUUAUAGCCUUUCUGAUUUG
Molecule: small nucleolar RNA, 107 nt
Organism: Elaeis guineensis (African oil palm)
Lineage: Eukaryota; Viridiplantae; Streptophyta; Magnoliopsida; Arecales; Arecaceae
Source: RefSeq, a predicted model, not a curated record